UGGGAAGAUCAUUGUCAGCGCCAUGAGGUAAAAGUCAUCGUUUAAUCCAAUAAAAAUCUGAUGGCGAUCAUGGAGAUCAAGCCAAUAUGGUGGUGAUCCUCGAUCACGGCCAGCACCGAGUGCAAGGCGUAUGAUCUUUCUACUCUUUUGGAUCUCACAACGGCCUUGGAGAUCAGGCCAUCGCUGCGGUGGUCCUCAGUUACAGUUGGCACUAGAGUUCCAAUGAGAGAGGGAGGAA
Molecule: long non-coding RNA, 238 nt
Filed under: Elaeis guineensis (African oil palm)
Lineage: Eukaryota; Viridiplantae; Streptophyta; Magnoliopsida; Arecales; Arecaceae
Description: long non-coding RNA (EGUI_LNC001683)
Source: RNAcentral